UAAGGAAUAUUGCGCAAUGGACGAAAGUCUGACGCAGCGACGCCGCGUGGGGGAUGAAGGUCUUCGGAUUGUAAACCCCUUUCGGGAGGGAAGAUGGAGUGGGUAACCACUUGGACGGUACCUCCAGAAGCAGCCACGGCUAACUUCGUGCCAGCAGCCGCGGUAAUACGAAGGUGGCAAGCGUUGUUCGGAUUCACUGGGCGUACAGGGAGCGUAGGCGGUUGGGUAAGCCCUCCGUGAAAUCUCCGGGCCUAACCCGGAAAGUGCAGAGGGGACUGCCGGGCUAGAGGACGGGAGAGGAGCGCGGAAUUCCCGGUGUAGCGGUGAAAUGCGUAGAGAUCGGGAGGAAGGCCGGUGGCGAAGGCGGCGCUCUGGAACGUUUCUGACGCUGAGGCUCGAAAGCGUGGGGAGCAAACAGGAUUAGAUACCCCAGUAGUCCCUGAGCGGGCUGGCAAGGCGCAU
RNAcentral lists this ribosomal RNA (462 nucleotides) under uncultured bacterium. Its description in RNAcentral is "bacterial SSU rRNA". It matches the Rfam family "Bacterial small subunit ribosomal RNA", at positions 355 to 825 of the family's 1533-position model. The record is from RNAcentral.